GAGCAGCAGUUACUCCCCAGCCGUUGUCACAUCCAUCUACGACCGGUUCCUGUGCUCGCAGGUGAAACGACAACAACAGCGCCCGUUGUACGGCGCCGCUGCGGGGAGUCGGCGGAGGCAGGAUCCAGUGUGAGGGGGUGGAUUCGAUUUGGGCCCAAGCCACCAUGUCACGGUAGGAACGGGCGGCGACGGCGGCGGCGACGCAAAAUGUGCUCAAUGUCGAUGCGGCCCGAGUGCGCAAGGCAGCUGCGGCGCAAUCGCGGAAGGAUGCGGCGGCGCCGAUGCGGAAGGUCCAUGGAAGUGCUCGGGCGCUGGAGCAGAGCAAUUCGGGAUGGGCUGCGCGUGUGCCAGAGCAGAGGGGUUCGGGAUUUAGCACGGCUACUCCACCAAGGUCCUUCACCGACGGCAAUUGCUUCUUCAAUGGCAACGCCAGCGGCUUCUUCGGUAGCGGCAGACAAAGCCCCGUCAACCAUGGAAUUCUCAAUCUUCAAAUCCUGCAACUUGGGGAAACAAUGCAACACCUCCUGGAGGCUUCACAAAUUUUAUCCAGCCUAACGUGUCUCAACAUUUUAAUUUUGUUGGAGAGCCUUCUCAGUUUGCCCCAUUCAAGGCGCCAUGGAGUAUGCAAGAUUUUCAGUCUGAAGAAGAAUUCUCGACUCCUAUUUCAGCAAGGGACAACCCAUAUGUUAAUGUUGACAGCGGUGAUGAGACACCUAGAACUGAGAAGUGAAUCUUUUGGACUCAAGAAGAUGUCAGGAUGAUGAGCGCUUGGCUGCUCAACUCAACAGACUCAACCAUCGGUGCUGAUAGGAAGAAUGAGCAAUACCGGGCUGAUGUUGAGGCUACGUACAAUGAGACUACACCAAGUCAUAGGAGGAGAAAUGCCAAGCAAAUCAGGGACCGAUUUCAUAAGGUAAAUAAGUGGAUCGACCUUUUCCAUAGUGCUUGGUUGAAGGUUCGAAUGAUUUAUACAAGUGGCUAUAGUGAUCAAAUGUGGAUUGAGAAGGCCCAUGCAUUGUAUAUAAAGGACAAUGAGAGUCUCAAUCUAGGUCCUUUUGUGUUGAUGGAUGUAUGGAAUACGGUCAAGAAUGAAGCAAAGUGGGUAACAUACAAUAGUGGGCUUAAAAAAGCAAGAAAAAGAAAGGGUUCAGGCAAGGAGAAGGAAGGAGAGGAUGUUAGCCAUACAGAUGCAGAUUAACUUGAGGAACAGCCAAGACCAAUGGGGCAAAAAAAAGCUAAAAAAUUGAAAUAUGCCAAAAGUAAGGAGGGGGACCAUAUUGACCUUGAGGAGCUGGAUAAAUUUGGUAAAAUACAGAGUGAAGAGCAUGCAAAUAGGCUGAAAGUCUUGGAAGUGUAGGAAAAGCUAUCAUCUGAAAAGAUCGAACAAGCCAAGCUUGCCCACCUUGCAGCAAAGGAACAAAAGGAGGCAGCUCAGAUGCAAAGGGAGGCAAGAAAAUAUGAACUUGAAACUAAGAUGUUUGAGACAUAUAACCGCCUUCUCUCUGUAGAUGUAGCAUCAAUGUCCGAUGAAGAAAAGUUAGAACAUUCAGAUACAUUGAAGUAUUUGAAGAAAAAAUUAUUUGCUGAAAAAUGAGGUGCAUCUCUAGAGUUGGAGGCUGACCUGUUGGCGGUGGUUCUGAAAUGAUUCAGUCAAUUAUGAAGUGUCAAGUGUCUUUUUUUAUCAAGUCUUUUUUUUGUCUAGUGUGAAUUGUUUCUUGUCGAAUAUGAACUGAGCAUGUCUGUAUGAACUGAGUAUGGUUUUUUCCCAGUCAAGUAUGAAUUGAGCAUGCCUGUC
Molecule: long non-coding RNA, 1795 nt
Organism: Panicum virgatum (switchgrass)
Lineage: Eukaryota; Viridiplantae; Streptophyta; Magnoliopsida; Poales; Poaceae
Exons: 5
Source: RefSeq, a predicted model, not a curated record